RNAcentral lists this transfer RNA (60 nucleotides) under Cambaroides similis. RNAcentral describes it as "tRNA-Arg". The record is from RNAcentral. Lineage: Eukaryota; Metazoa; Arthropoda; Malacostraca; Decapoda; Cambaridae.
AAUUAGAAAGCGAAGAUUUGCAUUUAGUUUCGACCUAAAUUUUGGUUAUACCUCUAAUUU